Molecule: ribosomal RNA, 253 nt
Filed under: uncultured bacterium
Lineage: Bacteria
Description: partial 16S ribosomal RNA
Rfam family: Bacterial small subunit ribosomal RNA
Source: RNAcentral
GACAGAGGGUGCAAACGUUGUUCGGAAUUACUGGGCGUAAAGGGCGCGUAGGCGGACAGUUUAGUCAGAGGUGAAAGCCCAGGGCUCAACCUUGGAAUUGCCUUUGAUACUGGCUGUCUUGAGUUCGGGAGAGGUGAGUGGAAUGCCGAGUGUAGAGGUGAAAUUCGUAGAUAUUCGGCGGAACACCAGUGGCGAAGGCGACUCACUGGCCCGAUACUGACGCUGAGGCGCGAAAGCGUGGGGAGCAAACAGG